UAAGACGAACCGUGCAAACGUUGUUCGGAAUCACUGGGCUUAAAGGGCGCGUAGGCGGGCCAGACAGUCUGUGGUGAAAGCCUCCAGCUUAACUGGAGAAGUGCCGUGGAUACUGCUGGCCUCGAGGAGGGUAGGGGCAUCUGGAACGGUCGGUGGAGCGGUGAAAUGCGUUGAUAUCGACCGGAACUCCGGUGGCGAAGGCGAGGUGCUGGGCCCUUUCUGACGCUGAUGCGCGAAAGCCAGGGGAGCAAACGGGAUUAGAUACCCCGGUAGUCCUGGCCCUAAACGUUGAGGACUAGGUAGUGGACUUACAUGGGUUCACUGUCGAAGCAAAAGUGCUAAGUCCUCCGCCUGGGGAGUAUGGUCGCAAGGCUG
Molecule: ribosomal RNA, 375 nt
Filed under: uncultured bacterium
Lineage: Bacteria
Description: bacterial SSU rRNA
Rfam family: Bacterial small subunit ribosomal RNA
Source: RNAcentral